Molecule: ribosomal RNA, 385 nt
Filed under: uncultured bacterium
Lineage: Bacteria
Description: bacterial SSU rRNA
Rfam family: Bacterial small subunit ribosomal RNA
Source: RNAcentral
AUUGAACGCUGGCGGCAUGCUUUACACAUGCAAGUCGAACGGCAGCACGGGGCAACCUGGUGGCGAGUGGCGAACGGGUGAGUAAUACAUCGGAACGUGCCCAAUCGUGGGGGAUAACGUAGCGAAAGUUACGCUAAUACCGCAUACGAUCUACGGAUGAAAGCGGGGGAUCGCAAGACCUCGCGCGAGUGGAGCGGCCGAUGUCAGAUUAGGUAGUUGGUGGGGUAAAGGCUCACCAAGCCAACGAUCUGUAGCUGGUCUGAGAGGACGACCAGCCACACUGGGACUGAGACACGGCCCAGACUCCUACGGGAGGCAGCAGUGGGGAAUUUUGGACAAUGGGCGCAAGCCUGAUCCAGCCAUACCGCGUGCGGGAAGAAGGCCU